GAUUUUCCCCUCUUUCCUUAAUCGGCUUUUUUUUUCAUAAUAUCAUGAUCACUUUGAUGCUGUCAACUCAAACAAGAUGGACAAAGAAAGCCGAUUAAGGAAAGAGGGGAAAAUCAAACUAACUCUAGUUACAAAAAUAAAAGAAAACAAUAUACCUCACACCCAACAUGUAUGUAUGCACCUGUUCUUGGUACAACAACCAGACGCCUUAAGCAAUAUACAGAGACCAAGCGAAGGAAAAGCCAAAAGAACUAGAACAGGAGAAAAUCUGUACAACUCUCCUAUUCAUUAAGCCUUCACUGCCAGGGUUUGCAGGUGAUCUAUAAAAUCUUGCAAGCUCAAAUCAUCAGUGAGUAUGAUUUCUGAUCCUUCUGUGUAUGUUGAGUUCUGAGUAACAGAUGGAUUCAACUUAGCAAGAAGAAACCUAGCCUGACUACUGUGUUGGUCACAUUUUAUCAAUUUAGGCGCAGGAACUCGUUCUGCCACCAAUUGCUCUGCAUCAAUUUCAGGAGCUUCCAACAGCUUUCUCAAAUUCUCAUGGUUUGGAUCUUUGUGAUAGCCAAGUUUCCUCCACUGAACAAUUUUGGACCCAUAAUGAAUCACUACAUGGAAGUAAGAAUCAAAGAGUAAAAUAACAUCAGGUAAGAUGGAUUGAACAUCUAGGAGGACUGGAAUUGGGGGACCAUUGAAAGAAUACUGAAAAAGUGUAGGUUGUAUCAUGACAAGAGAACCCACANNNNNNNNGUUCAACAUCAGGUGGAAAAAUGCAGUUUCAUCAGGAGUACUAUUGAAAACAUCUAUAAAUUGGGACCUCCUCAAAUAAUACAUGAACUGGGGGUAAAGAGAGAAGUUUGUUGACAAGCGGAAGGUAGAUGGAUCUUCCUCGAUAUAAUCUCCAAACUUGGAAGCAAAACAGAUAAGGUUGUCAUCCAGCCAUCUGACAACAUCUCGAGCAUAGCAUGUUUCUGUCCGGUGAAUUGCAAGUCUGGCCAUGACUGAAGCUGCUGCUUCCUGAUCAAAACCGGAAGUGAUUUCUGCAGACUUGUUUCCAACCCAUCUUCUUGCAGCUGUGGUAACCCUUUUCCGGAUUCCCAUGUUUCCAUGUCGGUAACGCGUUAUAAACUGUAUAAAGAAGGCAGACCCUGGAUGGGCCUUCUGUUCAUCACCCACUUCAAAGAAGAAAGUUAUGCAUGUUUUAUUAGUUAGUGUGCCCAACUUCCACGCAAAAGUGCCACCCUCCCCAGUCUCACGGUCGCUCACUAAACCAUUUUUUUUCCGAAGAGAAACACAAGGCCCAAGUGCUCCACAGAUUUUUACAUCUUUUGUGGUGAUCACCUCAAUAGUAGCAUCAAAAUACAUCUUCAAACUCCCCUCUUCAUCACGACCAAAAAUAUGCCGCAAGCACUUUCUGAAUUGAUCUGACUCAAAUAAAUCUCCUAACAUCAUGAAUCCACCAGACCUCUCAACAGGAGCUUUUAGCUCUGCUGCUCCUACUUGAUCAAGGGAACAAGCAAAUAAAUCAAGAACAACAGAUGCAUCAGAUAAUCUUUGAGACAACCGACUAUAGAAGCUGCAAGAUUUUCUAUGGUAAGAAGUAUGACCAUUGAUGAGGUCUCUAUGAGUUCUGAUGGCA
RNAcentral lists this unclassified non-coding RNA (1633 nucleotides) under Hevea brasiliensis (rubber tree). The record is from RNAcentral. Lineage: Eukaryota; Viridiplantae; Streptophyta; Magnoliopsida; Malpighiales; Euphorbiaceae.